This is a non-coding RNA of Firmicutes bacterium CAG:83, 119 nucleotides long. Lineage: Bacteria; Bacillati; Bacillota. The record is from Rfam.
AGCUGUCUUCGAGGCGGGGUGUGAUUCCCCACCGGCGGUAUAGUCCGCAAGCGGCGCAAGCUGCAUGAACCGGUGCGAUCCCGGUACCGACAGUAUAGUCUGGAUGAGAGAAGGCGUGU